AGAGUUUGAUCAUGGCUCAGAACGAACGCUGGCGGCAGGCUUAACACAUGCAAGUCGAACGGGCCCUUCGGGGUCAGUGGCAGACGGGUGAGUAACACGUGGGAACGUGCCCUUCAGUUCGGAAUAACCCAGGGAAACUUGGGCUAAUACCGGAUACGCCCGAAAGGGGAAAGAUUAAUCGCUGAAGGAUCGGCCCGCGUCUGAUUAGCUAGUUGGUGAGGUAAAGGCUCACCAAGGCGACGAUCAGUAGCUGGUCUGAGAGGAUGAUCAGCCACACUGGGACUGAGACACGGCCCAGACUCCUACGGGAGGCAGCAGUGGGGAAUAUUGGACAAUGGGCGCAAGCCUGAUCCAGCCAUGCCGCGUGAGUGAUGAAGGCCUUAGGGUUGUAAAGCUCUUUCGGCGGGGACGAUAAUGACGGUACCCGCAGAAGAAGCCCCGGCUAACUUCGUGCCAGCAGCCGCGGUAAUACGAAGGGGGCUAGCGUUGUUCGGAAUCACUGGGCGUAAAGGGCGCGUAGGCGGCUUUGUAAGUCGGGGGUGAAAGCCUGUGGCUCAACCACAGAAUUGCCUUCGAUACUGCGUGGCUUGAGACCGGAAGAGGUAAGUGGAACUGCGAGUGUAGAGGUGAAAUUCGUAGAUAUUCGCAAGAACACCAGUGGCGGAGGCGGCUUACUGGUCCGGUUCUGACGCUGAGGCGCGAAAGCGUGGGGAGCAAACAGGAUUAGAUACCCUAGUAGUCC
RNAcentral lists this ribosomal RNA (742 nucleotides) under uncultured bacterium. RNAcentral's name for it is "bacterial SSU rRNA". It matches the Rfam family "Bacterial small subunit ribosomal RNA", at positions 8 to 796 of the family's 1533-position model. The record is from RNAcentral.